RNAcentral lists this ribosomal RNA (334 nucleotides) under uncultured bacterium. RNAcentral describes it as "bacterial SSU rRNA". It matches the Rfam family "Bacterial small subunit ribosomal RNA", at positions 585 to 916 of the family's 1533-position model. The record is from RNAcentral.
AAGUCGGGUGUGAAACUUUGAGGCUCAACCUCGAGAGGCCACUCGAUACUGUGUGACUAAAGUCCGGUAGAGGAGUGUGGAAUUCCUGGUGUAGCGGUGAAAUGCGCAAAUAUCAGGAGGAACACCGACGGCGAAGGCAGCACUCUGGGCCGGUACUGACGCUGAGGAGCGAAAGCAUGGGGAGCAAACAGGAUUAAAUACCCUGGUAGUCCAUGCCGUAAACGUUGGGCACUAGGUGUGGGGUCUCGCUAACCGAUUCCGUGCCGCAGCUAACGCAUUAAGUGCCCCGCCUGGGGAGUACGGCCGCAAGGCUAAAACUCAAAUGAAUUGACGG